RNAcentral lists this ribosomal RNA (497 nucleotides) under uncultured bacterium. Its description in RNAcentral is "partial 16S ribosomal RNA". It matches the Rfam family "Bacterial small subunit ribosomal RNA", at positions 28 to 507 of the family's 1533-position model. The record is from RNAcentral.
GAUGAACGCUGGCGGCGUGCCUAAUACAUGCAACUCGAGCGAACGGACGAGAAACUAGAUACACUGACGUAAAAAACAGAAAGGUGACUCACACGUGGCACACCAAACAACAAAAAUGGCACACAAACGGGAAACCGACGCUAAUACCGGAUGAUAUUUUGAACCGCAUGGUUCAAAAGUGAAAGACGGUCUUGCUGUCACUUAUAGAUGGAUCCGCGCUGCAUUAGCUAGUUGGUAAGGUAACGGCUUACCAAGGCAACUGUGCAUAGCCGACCUGAGAGUUGUUGGUUGCGUACGUGUGCUGAGACACGGUCCAGACUCCUACGGGAGGCAGCAGUAGGGAAUCUUCCGCAAUGGUCGAAAGCCUGACGGAGCAACGCCGCGUGAGUGAUGAAGGUCUUCGGAUCGUAAAACUCUGUUAUUAGGGAAUAACAUAUGUGUAAGUAACUGUGCACAUCUUGACGGUACCUAAUCAGAAAGCCACGGCUAACUACGUG